UUAGUGGCGAACGGGUGAGUAACGCGUGAGUAACCUGCCCUAGAGUGGGGGACAACAGUUGGAAACGACUGCUAAUACCGCAUAAGCCCACGGUACCGCAUGGUACUGAGGGAAAAGGAUUUAUUCGCUUUAGGAUGGACUCGCGUCCAAUUAGCUAGUUGGUGAGGUAACGGCCCACCAAGGCGACGAUUGGUAGCCGGACUGAGAGGUUGAACGGCCACAUUGGGACUGAGACACGGCCCAGACUCCUACGGGAGGCAGCAGUGGGGGAUAUUGCACAAUGGGGGAAACCCUGAUGCAGCGACGCCGCGUGGAGGAAGAAGGUUUUCGGAUUGUAAACUCCUGUCGUUAGGGACGAUAAUGACGGUACCUAACAAGAAAGCACCGGCUAACUACGUGCCAGCAGCCGCGGUAAAACGUAGGGUGCAAGCGUUGUCCGGAAUUACUGGGUGUAAAGGGAGCGCAGGCGGGAAGACAAGUUGGAAGUGAAAACCAUGGGCUCAACCCAUGAAUUGCUUUCAAAACUGUUUUUCUUGAGUAGUGCAGAGGUAGAUGGAAUUCCCGGUGUAGCGGUGGAAUGCGUAGAUAUCGGGAGGAACACCAGUGGCGAAGGCGGUCUACUGGGCACCAACUGACGCUGAGGCUCGAAAGCAUGGGUAGCAAACAGGAUUAGAUACCCUGGUAGUCCAUGCCGUAAACGAUGAUUACUAGGUGU
RNAcentral lists this ribosomal RNA (715 nucleotides) under uncultured bacterium. RNAcentral's name for it is "bacterial SSU rRNA". It matches the Rfam family "Bacterial small subunit ribosomal RNA", at positions 92 to 823 of the family's 1533-position model. The record is from RNAcentral.